UGGCCCCUACGGGACGCAGCAGUCGAGAAUCCUUCACGAUGGGGGAAACCCUGAUGGUGCGACGCCGCGUGGGGGAAUGAAGGUCUUCGGAUUGUAAACCCCUGUCAUGUGGGAGCAAAUUAAAAAGAUAGUACCACAAGAGGAAGAGACGGCUAACUCUGUGCCAGCAGCCGCGGUAAUACAGAGGUCUCAAGCGUUGUUCGGAAUCACUGGGCGUAAAGCGUGCGUAGGCUGUUUCGUAAGUCGCGUGUGAAAGGCGCGGGCGCAACCCGCGGACGGCACAUGUUACUGCGAGACUAGAGUAA
RNAcentral lists this ribosomal RNA (305 nucleotides) under uncultured bacterium. Its description in RNAcentral is "bacterial SSU rRNA". It matches the Rfam family "Bacterial small subunit ribosomal RNA", at positions 333 to 649 of the family's 1533-position model. The record is from RNAcentral.